AUGAUUGACCUAAAUGAGCUACCAGAAGACAAUAACCCUGAAUUGCAAAUUCCUGCCAACAAUGAUAUUGGAGAUCCUGCAUUUUACACACAACAGAGCAUCCACGCAGGUGAUGCUGAGCAUGCUGAGUUCGUUGCGGAAUCUCCUAAUCCUAUGGUCACGCAAAAUGUUGGCAAAACUGUGGCAGAAGCAAUGGAUACGGGUGGGCACUCCCUUAAUGCAGGGGAGCCGCAUGUGGUAGAACUAACCCUGGAACAGAAGCAGCAGAGACAGAUGCACGCACCCUUGAUGGCACAGGUGCUGCAGCUGAUACUAGAGGGACUGUUGGAAAUGGAUUGA
Molecule: ribosomal RNA, 339 nt
Filed under: Triticum aestivum (bread wheat)
Lineage: Eukaryota; Viridiplantae; Streptophyta; Magnoliopsida; Poales; Poaceae
Description: partial small subunit ribosomal RNA
Source: RNAcentral